UGCUCUAUGAAUAUUUUUUAAAUGGCCGCGGUAUUUUGACCGUGCGAAGGUAGCAUAAUCAUUAGUCUUUUAAUUGGAGGCUGGUAUGAAUGGCUGGACGAGAAAAUUUCUGUCUCUGUUAUAAAAUUCGAAUUUUAUUUUUAAGUGAAAAAGCUUAAAUUUGUUUGAGGGACGAUAAGACCCUAUGGAUCUUUAUAAUGAUAUACAGUAAAAAGCUUAGGUGUGACGGCUUACUGUUUUAAAUUAUUGGGUUGGGGCGACCGGAAGAAAAAAAUAUCUCUUCUUUAAUAAUAUAAUUUUUUUAGAAAUAAAAUGACCCUGAAUUUUGGUUUAAAAGACUAAGUUACCCUAGGGAUAACAGCGUAAUCUUUUUGGAGAGUUCAUAUCGAUAAAAAGGUUUGCGACCUCGAUGUUGGAUUAAGAGAUCCUUGCGGCGCAGCCGUUGUAAAGGAGAGUCUGUUCGACUUUUAAAUUCUUACGUGAUCUG
This 487-nucleotide ribosomal RNA is filed under the name Triops newberryi. Its description in RNAcentral is "partial 16S ribosomal RNA". It matches the Rfam family "Bacterial large subunit ribosomal RNA", at positions 1906 to 2607 of the family's 2925-position model. Lineage: Eukaryota; Metazoa; Arthropoda; Branchiopoda; Notostraca; Triopsidae. The record is from RNAcentral.